AUGGCACCCUUCUCGAGCCGCGGGCCGAACUUCCAAGUGCCAGAGAUCCUCAAGCCAGACGUCACUGCCCCCGGCUUGGAGAUCCUCGCCGCUUGGACCGGCACCGCCUCACCCUCGGGCCUCGACAGCGACUCGAGACGAGUACACUACAAUGUCGUAUCGGGCACGUCCAUGGCGUGCCCACAUGUGAGCGGCAUCGCUGCAAUGCUCCGGCAGGCGAGGCCGGAGUGGAGCCCCGCCGCGAUCAAGUCCGCCCUGAUGACCACCGCGUACAACAUGGACAACGCCGGCCACGUCAUCGGAGACAUGGCCACCGGCAAGGCGUCCACGCCGUUCGCGCGCGGGGCAGGCCACGUGGACCCCAACCGCGCCCUUGACCCAGGCCUCGUGUACGACGCCGGCAUGGACGACUAUGUCACCUUCCUGUGCGCACUCGGCUACACCGCUGACGAGGUUGCCAUCUUCACGAGAGACGGCUCGUCGACCAACUGCUCGACGCUCCCGGGUUCAGGCUAUGUGGGAGACCACAACUACCCGGCCUUCGUGGCGGUGUUCACCUCGCGGAACGAGACCAUCACGCAGCACCGCAUGGUGCGCAACGUCGGCAACAAUGUGGAUGCGACGUACCGAGCCACGGUAACCAGCCCCGCCGGCAUGCGCGUCGACGUGAAGCCGCAGAAGCUGCAGUUCAGCACUACGCACAACACACAGGAGUACCAGGUCACCUUCUCUAUCCGAGCCGCGGGGAGCAUAAAGGAGUACACGUUCGGGUCGAUCACGUGGAGCGACGGAAAGCACACUGUGACGAGCCCCAACGCCAUCGCCUGGCGGCCGCCGGUGAGCGAAGUCGCGGCGAUGUGA
Molecule: ribosomal RNA, 861 nt
Filed under: Triticum aestivum (bread wheat)
Lineage: Eukaryota; Viridiplantae; Streptophyta; Magnoliopsida; Poales; Poaceae
Description: partial small subunit ribosomal RNA
Source: RNAcentral